Molecule: long non-coding RNA, 602 nt
Organism: Bos taurus (domestic cattle)
Lineage: Eukaryota; Metazoa; Chordata; Mammalia; Artiodactyla; Bovidae
Source: Ensembl
GGUUAAAAGAAUAUACUAUUCUGGGUCUUAAACUGCUCAGCGACUGGGAACUCAUUGAAGUCACCGCCUUCUGUAGGAAUGACAUUCAUCUCAGAAGAUUUGGCACUGACUAUCUCACAAUCCAGGGAGUUCUUGCUCAGAUUUCGCAUGUCAGCCAUAAUGUACCACCUCAGACUUCUGUCUCACCUCCGGACCGCGAUUGGCCUCUCUCUACUUCCGGCAAGAACCGCCCAGCAACCUUUGCGCCUAUACAUACCCAUUUUUUUAAAAGGAGUAUCUUUUAAGCUAAGUGAAACCCUCACGCUGGAAUUCACCUUGGCUGACAGAUGUUUGCGCCACCAGGAAGGACCCAAGUCCGACCACAUACGGGCAACUAGCAAGAUGAUUGGCCAAAGACAACCAGGAAAACUGAUGCCAUUGCCAUAAAACCUGAGGCUGUGAGCCACAUGGCAGAGCAGUUCUCCUGGGUUCCCUUAACCUGCCCUUCUCCACCUGGGUACCCCUUUCCAAUAAAGUCUUGGGCUUUGUCACGUCAGUACGUGUGUCUCCUUGGACAAUUCAUUUCUGACUAUUAGACAAGAGCCCACUCUCGGGUCCUAAAG